This 1372-nucleotide ribosomal RNA is filed under the name uncultured bacterium. RNAcentral describes it as "bacterial SSU rRNA". It matches the Rfam family "Bacterial small subunit ribosomal RNA", at positions 28 to 1381 of the family's 1533-position model. The record is from RNAcentral.
GAUGAACGCUGGCGGCGUGCCUAAUACAUGCAAGUCGAGCGAACGGACGAGAAGCUUGCUUCUCUGAUGUUAGCGGCGGACGGGUGAGUAACACGUGGAUAACCUACCUAUAAGACUGGGAUAACUUCGGGAAACCGGAGCUAAUACCGGAUAAUAUUUUGAACCGCAUGGUUCAAAAGUGAAAGACGGUCUUGCUGUCACUUAUAGAUGGAUCCGCGCUGCAUUAGCUAGUUGGUAAGGUAACGGCUUACCAAGGCAACGAUGCAUAGCCGACCUGAGAGGGUGAUCGGCCACACUGGAACUGAGACACGGUCCAGACUCCUACGGGAGGCAGCAGUAGGGAAUCUUCCGCAAUGGGCGAAAGCCUGACGGAGCAACGCCGCGUGAGUGAUGAAGGUCUUCGGAUCGUAAAACUCUGUUAUUAGGGAAGAACAUAUGUGUAAGUAACUGUGCACAUCUUGACGGUACCUAAUCAGAAAGCCACGGCUAACUACGUGCCAGCAGCCGCGGUAAUACGUAGGUGGCAAGCGUUAUCCGGAAUUAUUGGGCGUAAAGCGCGCGUAGGCGGCUUUUUAAGUCUGAUGUGAAAGCCCACGGCUCAACCGUGGAGGGUCAUUGGAAACUGGAAAACUUGAGUGCAGAAGAGGAAAGUGGAAUUCCAUGUGUAGCGGUGAAAUGCGCAGAGAUAUGGAGGAACACCAGUGGCGAAGGCGACUUUCUGGUCUGUAACUGACGCUGAUGUGCGAAAGCGUGGGGAUCAAACAGGAUUAGAUACCCUGGUAGUCCACGCCGUAAACGAUGAGUGCUAAGUGUUAGGGGGUUUCCGCCCCUUAGUGCUGCAGCUAGCGCAUUAAGCACUCCGCCUGGGGAGUACGACCGCAAGGUUGAAACUCAAAGGAAUUGACGGGGACCCGCACAAGCGGUGGAGCAUGUGGUUUAAUUCGAAGCAACGCGAAGAACCUUACCAAAUCUUGACAUCCUUUGACAACUCUAGAGAUAGAGCUUUCCCCUUCGGGGGACAAAGUGACAGGUGGUGCAUGGUUGUCGUCAGCUCGUGUCGUGAGAUGUUGGGUUAAGUCCCGCAACGAGCGCAACCCUUAAGCUUAGUUGCCAUCAUUAAGUUGGGCACUCUAAGUUGACUGCCGGUGACAAACCGGAGGAAGGUGGGGAUGACGUCAAAUCAUCAUGCCCCUUAUGAUUUGGGCUACACACGUGCUACAAUGGACAAUACAAAGGGCAGCGAAACCGCGAGGUCAAGCAAAUCCCAUAAAGUUGUUCUCAGUUCGGAUUGUAGUCUGCAACUCGACUACAUGAAGCUGGAAUCGCUAGUAAUCGUAGAUCAGCAUGCUACGGUGAAUACGUUCCCGGGUCU